RNAcentral lists this ribosomal RNA (1121 nucleotides) under Acinetobacter sp. RNAcentral's name for it is "bacterial SSU rRNA". It matches the Rfam family "Bacterial small subunit ribosomal RNA", at positions 33 to 1168 of the family's 1533-position model. Lineage: Bacteria; Pseudomonadati; Pseudomonadota; Gammaproteobacteria; Moraxellales; Moraxellaceae. The record is from RNAcentral.
GGGCAUGCGGCAGCUUAMYAUGCAGUCGAGCGGAUGAAGUAGCUUCGCUACYGGAUUCAGCGGCGGACGGGUGAGUAAUGCUUAGGAAUCUGCCUAUUAGUGGGGGACAACAUCUCGAAAGGGAUGCUAAUACCGCAUACGUCCUACGGGAGAAAGCAGGGGAUCUUCGGACCUUGCGCUAAUAGAUGAGCCUAAGUCGGAUUAGCUAGUUGGUGGGGUAAAGGCCUACCAAGGCGACGAUCUGUAGCGGGUCUGAGAGGAUGAUCCGCCACACUGGGACUGAGACACGGCCCAGACUCCUACGGGAGGCAGCAGUGGGGAAUAUUGGACAAUGGGGGGAACCCUGAUCCAGCCAUGCCGCGUGUGUGAAGAAGGCCUUUUGGUUGUAAAGCACUUUAAGCGAGGAGGAGGAGCUCUUGGUUAAUACCCAAGAUGCUUGGACGUUACUCGCAGAAUAAGCACCGGCUAACUCUGUGCCAGCAGCCGCGGUAAUACAGAGGGUGCAAGCGUUAAUCGGAUUUACUGGGCGUAAAGCGCGCGUAGGUGGCCAAUUAAGUCAAAUGUGAAAUCCCCGAGCUUAACUUGGGAAUUGCAUUCGAUACUGGUUGGCUAGAGUAUGGGAGAGGAUGGUAGAAUUCCAGGUGUAGCGGUGAAAUGCGUAGAGAUCUGGAGGAAUACCGAUGGCGAAGGCAGCCAUCUGGCCUAAUACUGACACUGAGGUGCGAAAGCAUGGGGAGCACACAGGAUUAGAUACCCUGGUAGUCCAUGCCGUAGACGAUGUCUACUACCCGUUGGGGCCUUUGAGGCUUUAGUGGCGCAGCUAACGCGAUAAGUAGACCGCCUGGGGAGUACGGUCGCAAGACUAAACUCAAUGAAUUGACGGGGGCCCGCACAACCGGUGGAGCAUGUGGUUUAAUUCUAUGCAUCGCGAACAACCUUACCUGGUCUUGACGUAUUAGAACUUUCCGGAGAUGGAUUGGUGCCUUCGGGACUUACAGAAAGUGCUGCAUGCUGUCUUCGCUCGUGUCAUGAAAUGUUGGGUAAGUCAGCAACCAGCGCACCCCUUUCCCUAUUUGCAGCGAGUAAGCCGGGAGUUUAAGGAGCUGCCAUGACGAAUGGAG